GCAUAUCAAUAAGCGGAGGAAAAGAAACUAACAAGGAUUCCCCUAGUAACGGCGAGUGAACCGGGAAAAGCUCAAAUUUAAAAUCUGGCUGUCUUCGAUAGUCCGAGUUGUAAUCUAUAGAAGUGUUUUCCGUGCUGAACUGUGUCUAAGUCCCUUGGAGCAGGGUAUCAAAGAGGGUGACAAUCCCGUACUUGACGCAAUCAUCAGUGCUCUGUGAUACAUUCUCUACGAGUCGAGUUGUUUGGGAAU
Molecule: ribosomal RNA, 249 nt
Filed under: uncultured fungus
Lineage: Eukaryota; Fungi
Description: partial 26S ribosomal RNA
Rfam family: Eukaryotic large subunit ribosomal RNA
Source: RNAcentral